This 249-nucleotide ribosomal RNA is filed under the name uncultured bacterium. RNAcentral describes it as "partial 16S ribosomal RNA". It matches the Rfam family "Bacterial small subunit ribosomal RNA", at positions 528 to 776 of the family's 1533-position model. The record is from RNAcentral.
UAGGGUGCGAGCGUUGUCCGGAAUUAUUGGGCGUAAAGAGCUUGUCGGCGGUUUGUCGCGUCUGCUGUGAAAAUCCGGGGCUCAACCCCGGACUUGCAGUGGGUACGGGCAGACUAGAGUGUGGUAGGGGAGACUGGAAUUCCUGGUGUAGCGGUGAAAUGCGCAGAUAUCAGGAAGAACACCCGUGGCUAAGGCGGCUCUCUAGUACGGUACUGACGCUGAGACGCGAAAGCGUGGGGAGCGAACAGG